Molecule: ribosomal RNA, 473 nt
Filed under: uncultured bacterium
Lineage: Bacteria
Description: bacterial SSU rRNA
Rfam family: Bacterial small subunit ribosomal RNA
Source: RNAcentral
ACUCCUACGGGAGGCAGCAGUGGGGAAUAUUGCACAAUGGGCGAAAGCCUGAUGCAGCCAUGCCGCGUGUGUGAAGAAGGCCUUCGGGUUGUAAAGCACUUUCAGCGAGGAGGAAAGGUUGACGGUUAAUACCCGUCAGCUGUGACGUUACUCGCAGAAGAAGCACCGGCUAACUCCGUGCCAGCAGCCGCGGUAAUACGGAGGGUGCGAGCGUUAAUCGGAAUUACUGGGCGUAAAGCGCAUGCAGGCGGCCAAGUCAGUCAGAUGUGAAAGCCCCGGGCUUAACCUGGGAAUUGCAUUUGAAACUGCUUGGCUAGAGUCCUUGAGAGGGGGUAGAAUUUCAGGUGUAGCGGUGAAAUGCGUAGAGAUCUGAAGGAAUACCGAGUGGCGAAGGCGGCCCCUGGCAAGAGACUGACGCUCAGAUGCGAAAGCGUGGGAGCAAACAGGAUUAGAUACCCCGUGGUAGGAUAGCG